This 497-nucleotide ribosomal RNA is filed under the name uncultured bacterium. RNAcentral describes it as "partial 16S ribosomal RNA". It matches the Rfam family "Bacterial small subunit ribosomal RNA", at positions 28 to 507 of the family's 1533-position model. The record is from RNAcentral.
GAUGAACGCUGGCGGCGUGCCUAAUACAUGCAAGUCGAGCGAACGGACGAGAAUCUUUCUUCUCUUAUGUUAGCGGCGGACGGGUGAGUAACACGUGGCUAACCUACCUAUAAGACUGGGAUCACUUCGGGAAACCGUUGCUAAUACCGUAUAAUAUUUUGAACCGCAUGGUUCAACAGUGAAAGACUGUCUUGCUGUCACUUAUCGAUUGAUCCGCGCUGCAUUAGCUAGUUGUUAAGGUAACGGCUUACCAAGGCAACGAUGCAUAGCCGACCUGAGAGGGUGAUCGGCCACACUGGAACUGAGACACGGUCCAGACUCCUACGGGAGGCAACAGUAGGGAAUCUUCCGCAAAGGGCGAAAGCCUGACGGAGCAAAGCCGCGUGAGUGAUGAAGGUCUUCGGAUCGUAAAACACUGUUAUUAGGGAAGAACAGAUGUGUAAGUAAAUGUGCACAUCUUGACGGUACCAAAUCAGAAAGCAACGGCUAACUACGUG